UCACUUUGGCAGUACAGAUACUAAAAUUGGAACGAUACAGAGAAAAUUAGCAUGGUCCCUGAGAAAGGAUGACACACAAAUUUAUGAAGUGCUUCAUAUUUUU
RNAcentral lists this small nuclear RNA (103 nucleotides) under Salvator merianae (Argentine black and white tegu). Lineage: Eukaryota; Metazoa; Chordata; Lepidosauria; Squamata; Teiidae. The record is from RNAcentral.